GACGGAGGGUGCAAGCGUUGCUCGGAAUCACUGGGCGUAAAGGGUGCGUAGGCGGGUCUUUAAGUCAGGGGUGAAAUCCUGGAGCUCAACUCCAGAACUGCCUUUGAUACUGAAGAUCUUGAGUUCGGGAGAGGUGAGUGGAACUGCGAGUGUAGAGGUGAAAUUCGUAGAUAUUCGCAAGAACACCAGUGGCGAAGGCGGCUCACUGGCCCGAUACUGACGCUGAGGCACGAAAGCGUGGGGAGCAAACAGG
Molecule: ribosomal RNA, 253 nt
Filed under: uncultured bacterium
Lineage: Bacteria
Description: partial 16S ribosomal RNA
Rfam family: Bacterial small subunit ribosomal RNA
Source: RNAcentral